This is a long non-coding RNA of Hemicordylus capensis (graceful crag lizard), 743 nucleotides long. RefSeq lists it as uncharacterized. The record is from RefSeq and is a predicted model, not a curated record. The transcript has 3 exons. Lineage: Eukaryota; Metazoa; Chordata; Lepidosauria; Squamata; Cordylidae.
GAGGGGGCUGGGUGCAUCUGGGGCAGGAGAAGGGAAGCCCCCCAGGGCCUCUGGGGUGACUCCCUCCUGCUCUCUGUUCCCUCCCAGGAGGAGAUGGCCUACAUCUGGGAGGACCCCGUGCCCCACCACCUCUUCUCUCUCUGCACAGAGGCCAUUGCCUCCUUGAGGGCAAGGAAGCAGGAACAAGGAACAAGAGACCAGCCAGGGGUCCAGGAUUCACCAAAGGCAGAUCCAAAAAUGAACGAGACCUCGCAGCCACAAGUGCUGGGCACACCGCAUUGAGAAAAGAUAGUAUGCAGGUGCCAUGACCUUCACCAUCAAUCGAGCCCCUUUCGGGCACAAUGGCUGAAGCGGAGGUCUCACCUCCUCACCGUCAGAAGAACCUUCACGUGCAGCUUGAAGACCAAACUCCCAAAGUCAAAAAUAUUCAUUGCACUAUCCUUUGGUAAGCCAUAGGGCUCAAGCUGUGUCUGGGCAGGGUCAUCCAUUGGUGGUCCUGCCCCGACACAGAUUGACCAAGGCCCACUGUUUAACCUGGCCGUGCAGGCCUGGCUGGUUGCCGCUUUUUGGAGCCGAGAAGGAAUUUUCCCCUGGGAGGUCUCUGGAUCCCCAGGUUUUUUGCCUUCUCUGCACGGCCUUCCUCUUCAGCUCUGCAAGCACCUUGGCUUGCCGCUGAAGAAGAGUCAACCAGUGGGUCUUUCCCCCUCCCGCCCACCUCCAAAUAAAAUACAAAUCAAUCUCAA